Molecule: ribosomal RNA, 453 nt
Filed under: uncultured bacterium
Lineage: Bacteria
Description: bacterial SSU rRNA
Rfam family: Bacterial small subunit ribosomal RNA
Source: RNAcentral
UACGGAAGGCAGCAGUGGGGAAUAUUGCACAAUGGGCGCAAGCCUGAUGCAGCCAUGCCGCGUGUAUGAAGAAGGUCUUCGGGUUGUAAAGUACUUUCAGUCGUGAGGAAGGUGUUAAGGUUAAUAACCUUAGCAAUUGACGUUAGCGACAGAAGAAGCACCGGCUAACUCCGUGCCAGCAGCCGCGGUAAUACGGAGGGUGCGAGCGUUAAUCGGAAUUACUGGGCGUAAAGGGCACGCAGGCGGUUAAUUAAGUUGGAUGUGAAAUCCCCGGGCUUAACCUGGGAAUGGCAUUCAAGACUGGUUAGCUAGAGUCUUGUAGAGGGGGUAGAAUUCCAUGUGUAGCGGUGAAAUGCGUAGAGAUGUGGAGGAAUACCGGUGGCGAAGGCGGCCCCUGGACAAAGACUGACGCUCAUGUGCGAAAGCGUGGGGAGCGAAACAGGAUUAGAUACC